UGAACAUCGAUGCAAAAAAAAUCACAAGCAUUCUUAUACACCAACAACAGACAAACAGAGAGCCAAAUCAUGAGAGGGUGCAUCUGUUGUUUCAGCAGCAAGGCAAUGACAAUGAAAAAAAGAUUGGGUCCAAUAAGAUUGCAAAUGAGGGACAUUCACAGCCUUUGUAGAAUCAUCUCUGGUUUUUACAAUAUCAUGAUUCUGGUUUUCUCAGAAGAAGUAAAACAGUGAGAGAUAAAUAACAUUAAUAAUUUGACAAUCAAAAGAGAAUGUGUAUGUCAGAAUGGAAAAAGGAACCUAUUCUGUUAGGGAGACAACUAAAACCAUCAUGCAGAAAUUAAUUUUAAUUGAGACAAAAGAUUUAGGAAAAAGUUGCUCUGUAGGUUGGAGACACAAAUUUUAUUUUAGACCAGCAGACUAUUAGAAAUGCUGGUACAAAACUCAAGAAAGGAGUCAGAAUUAAAGACAAACACAUAGCUGUGUCAUAAUCCUACCCAUUUUAUAACUGAGAAAUAUGGGAGAAAAGAUUGUUGUCGCCUCUCUAAUAUACCCAUUAUAAUCUUCAACCUGCUGAGUACUGGGGGAUUAGGAUCAUGGGGGAACAAACAGAUAAACAACAGCUAACACAAGAAAAUGGAUUUAAUCAGGUUUAAAGCUUAGUCUUAUGUAAGAAUUUAAACAUUUCGUUUCAAUAAUGCUUAGUGUCUUGGAAUAAUUGCUCAGGGUCUCAGAUAGCUUCUCUUCCUAAGACAACAUCUAAGUAUGUGGUGCUGGGGUGGCUUCUAUGAUGUUACAGCUUAAGGAAGGCAGGAUUCCCAGAUUUGCAUAUUAUCCCAAGGCUCCUCUGGUUGCCAUGGCGAUGUCCUUUGUUUGCUGGCUGCUGCUGCUCUCUCUCAGCAUUUGGAUUGCUUCUCCCACAGUUUGGUCAGAGCCUAGUGAUGCUGCUGGUUGACAAAGCUUCUGGUAUUGGGGAGCCCUCUGGAUAUGAGCUGGAGUCAGCUCAGGCUGGGUGGCUCACUCUGAGCCUCCAUCUUCACUUCCACACAGAAGUCUCACCUGGCAAGCUCCCUAGCAAGAUACUCUAGGGCUGACAUUUGCCCACCUUGGGAAAGCUAAACUCAUAGGCUCAGGUGCAAAGUUAUUUUGAUACUUUCUUGGUUAUUUGCCUUUUAAUUUGUUUAGUAUCUAUCACUGGCCGCCCUCCUUCCUCUAACACAUACACACACUAGAAUAUAAGCUCAUGAUAAUGGGGAUCUUGUAAUUCUUGUUCAUUGCUGAAUAACAAGCUCCAGGAAAAGUACCUGUCACAUCAUUGGCUAAUAAUAGACCUCUGUUAAAUCAAUGAAAGGAGGAAGGACAAAAAUAAUAGAUGAAAUCCCUAAGGAAGAACAUGUCAAGUGAGAACAAGAUGAGGACUAAAGUGUUUAGUACAUCUUCUACUUUCUAUUUUAGAGGCAGAAGGCAAAAGAGGCUCUAGGGAAGGAAAGUGAGAACUAUUCAAGAGAAGUGUGCAGAGGUUGGGAGUGUAAAAUUGGGGCAAGCAUGCAUCAGUAGACAGAGGUGAUCACUGUUGCAUAAAGCUUCAGAAGUUGAGCAGGAGUAACGGAAUUGGCAACUUGAAGGUUAUUGGUAAUUUCAGGGAAAGUGGUACCAAGACAUGAACCUGGGAAAUUCAGUUUCAAGGAAUUGUGCCAUAAAAGGGAGAAGAGAAUUGCAGCAGGUGAAGUCUUUUAUGAAGAUUGAAGUGAAGGGAAGAAGAAUUAGGAUAUGCCACCUGACUCUUCAGAGCAAAAGACUCACGGAGGAUUUUUUUUUUUUUUUUUUUUUGCCUCCAAGACAGAAGAGACUUGGUGUAUUGGUAUGUAGGGAGGAACUGGUGGAGAGGAAAAUGAGGAAGACUGAAGAAGAAGAUGGUUUAUGAAUUUAGGUCUCAGAACUUGACUGGGAAGGGAUGAGAUCAGCCUUAGAAAGGAAGAUAAGAAAAUAAGAAUGGAUGGAAAAUAGGAAAUCUGAAGCAAGUGGGAGGAAAAUAGAAGAAUUCACAUCCGAUUUUGCUCAGUACAAGAGGUGUCCGGCUUAUUGGCUAAGAAUGUGUGUGUGCAGACCCCUGUGAAAAUUGCAUGGUGAAACAGGGCCAUGUCACAAGGUGUGGCUCCUUACUGCCCACACUUCUUUGAUCCUUUAUUGACUCAAAGUGAGUGGCCAUGCUCCCUGGAGGUUCCUUUAGAGAGAGUGCUUUAAAGAGAGUGCUUUAGACAUUCUUGUUUAAAUUCAGAUAGGAGACUUGGUUAAGGUCUGAGUGUCUUCUCCCUAUAGCGUAAUCAGUUUCUAAAGAGAGGCCUGGGUGCCUUAAGGUUCCCUAGAAUCAAUAUGAGGAUCUCAAAUCUCAGACUCAACCCUCUUCAUGAUUCUGGAUUAUGUAAGUGAUAUGAAUAAUUUCAGUACUACAAAUCUCAGGUUUGUCCCUCAGCAAUGCUGACU
RNAcentral lists this long non-coding RNA (2481 nucleotides) under Homo sapiens (human). RNAcentral's name for it is "non-protein coding lnc-CTAGE5-5:1". The record is from RNAcentral. Lineage: Eukaryota; Metazoa; Chordata; Mammalia; Primates; Hominidae.